AUCCAGCUGACGAGUCCAAAAUAGAGCGAAACGCGCGUCCUGGAU
This is a non-coding RNA of Schistosoma mansoni, 45 nucleotides long. The record is from Rfam. Lineage: Eukaryota; Metazoa; Platyhelminthes; Trematoda; Strigeidida; Schistosomatidae.